RNAcentral lists this ribosomal RNA (275 nucleotides) under uncultured bacterium. RNAcentral's name for it is "partial 16S ribosomal RNA". It matches the Rfam family "Bacterial small subunit ribosomal RNA", at positions 338 to 610 of the family's 1533-position model. The record is from RNAcentral.
CCUACGGGUGGCUGCAGUAGGGAAUAUUGGACAAUGGGCGCAAGCCUGAUCCAGCCAUGCCGCGUGCAGGAUGAAGGCCCUAUGGGUCGUAAACUGCUUUUGUACGGGAAGAAACCUCACUACGUGUAGUGAGUUGACGGUACCGUGAGAAUAAGGAUCGGCUAACUUCGUGCCAGCAGCCGCGGUAAUACGAAGGAUCCAAGCGUUGUCCGGAUUUACUGGGUUUAAAGGGUGCGUAGGCGGACUUUUAAGUCAGUGGUGAAAGCUUGCAGCUU